UAUGGGAAACUGGGCAACUUUACCUCUGCACAUGUUUUGAUAAAUUUCCCCCUAUAUGAUUUCCUUCUGCGCUAAAUCAUCAAGGACAAGCCAAACACCAUUGCUUCAGACAUCUUACAGGGUGUAUCUGGGGGGGACUUCUACCACCAACACCUACAGUGCAGCCCCUUUUUCACUGUGUUAGCCCACAUAGCAUAGGACAAUCCUGUGGAAGCCCUUUACAAGUAUGACCAAUGCUAUCUCAACCUUGACGAGCAGAGGACUUCAGGUCCCAGCUAUCGCACAGUUCUUCAUCUGCUCCCUCUAGGCUGCUGCACAUGUAGGAUAUAAAACAAGUCUGAAGGCAGAAAAAGAAGAACCUACUAGCUAAAGGGAUUGGACCAGCCAGGACUCGUCCUUUCAUUCUAAGGAAGUUGCAUGGUCUGCAUGCCUAGAGACACGAGAAAGGAUGCAGCACAAUUCUAUCCAGAAAGAAGCCAGGUUGCAGAUUGUAUGUGCAAACCUCAAGAACAGAGCCUGGGGACUUUAAGGCAGCCUAAGGGUAGGAUUUCUGAGCCUAUUUUUUGAACCAUGUAUAACUCGGUGCUCGCUAACAACGUUAAAUUGAAUACAUGUAUCAAUAUGUGACAUAUAAUUAAAUAUGGAUGCCGGAUCAAUGAUGUCGAGGAAGGAAAUGUGAAACAUGUAUAUAAAUUAAUGGAUAAUUUUAAAGUUGUCGCAAAAUAAUGGGACAAAAGGACUUAUCUUUAACGUCACCAGUAAAUGGGUCCGCUCUCUUGAAUAAUUAUAAUAUUGAUUGAAUUAUCCGCUCACACUAUUGUUUAGAUGGAAUAUAUAUGUUUGGAAUGCUAUGCCAUAUACAGGUUGUUACAACAAUAGUACAUAUUG
Molecule: long non-coding RNA, 888 nt
Organism: Hyla sarda
Lineage: Eukaryota; Metazoa; Chordata; Amphibia; Anura; Hylidae
Exons: 3
Source: RefSeq, a predicted model, not a curated record